UAGGGAAUCUUCCACAAUGGACGAAAGUCUGAUGGAACAACGCCGCGUGAGUGAAGAAGGGUUUCGGCUCGUAAAACUCUGUUGUUAAAGAAGAACAUAUCUGAGAGUAACUGUUCAGGUAUUGACGGUAUUUAACCAGAAANCCACGGCUAAACUACGUGCCAG
This 165-nucleotide ribosomal RNA is filed under the name uncultured bacterium. Its description in RNAcentral is "partial 16S ribosomal RNA". It matches the Rfam family "Bacterial small subunit ribosomal RNA", at positions 355 to 511 of the family's 1533-position model. The record is from RNAcentral.